Molecule: ribosomal RNA, 253 nt
Filed under: uncultured bacterium
Lineage: Bacteria
Description: partial 16S ribosomal RNA
Rfam family: Bacterial small subunit ribosomal RNA
Source: RNAcentral
GACAGAGGGUGCAAACGUUGCUCGGAAUCACUGGGCGUAAAGGGCGUGUAGGCGGGAAGGAAAGUCAGAUGUGAAAUCCCCAGGCUCAACCUGGGAACUGCAUUUGAAACUCCCUUGCUUGAGUACCGGAGAGGAAAGUGGAAUUCCUGGUGUAGAGGUGAAAUUCGUAGAUAUCAGGAGGAACACCAGUGGCGAAGGCGGCUUUCUGGACGGUAACUGACGCUGAGACGCGAAAGCGUGGGGAGCAAACAGG